CCUACGGGUGGCAGCAGUGAGGAAUAUUGGUCAAUGGACGAGAGUCUGAACCAGCCAAGUAGCGUGAAGGAUGACUGCCCUAUGGGUUGUAAACUUCUUUUGUAUGGGAAUAAACUGUUCCACGUGUGGCAUUUUGUAUGUACCAUAUGAAUAAGGAUCGGCUAACUCCGUGCCAGCAGCCGCGGUAAUACGGAGGAUCCGAGCGUUAUCCGGAUUUAUUGGGUUUAAAGGGAGCGUAGGUGGAUUGUUAAGUCAGUUGUGAAAGUUGGGGGCUCAACCGCAGAAUUGCAGUUGACACUGGCAGUCGUGAGUACAGUAGAGGUGGGCGGAAUGCGUGGUGGAGCGGUGAAAUGCUUAGAUAUCACGAAGAACUCCGAUUGCGAAGGCAGCUUACUGGACUGCAACUGACACUGAGGCUCGAAAGUGUGGGUAUCAAACAGGAUUAGAUACCCGGGUAGUC
RNAcentral lists this ribosomal RNA (460 nucleotides) under uncultured bacterium. Its description in RNAcentral is "partial 16S ribosomal RNA". It matches the Rfam family "Bacterial small subunit ribosomal RNA", at positions 338 to 795 of the family's 1533-position model. The record is from RNAcentral.